Molecule: ribosomal RNA, 497 nt
Filed under: uncultured bacterium
Lineage: Bacteria
Description: partial 16S ribosomal RNA
Rfam family: Bacterial small subunit ribosomal RNA
Source: RNAcentral
GACGAACGCUGGCGGCGUGCCUAAUACAUGCAAGUUGAGCGCUGAAGGUUGGUACUUGUCCCGACUGGAUGAGCAGCGAACGGGUGAGUAACGCGUGGGGAAUCUGCCUUUGAGCGGGGGACAACAUUUGGAAACGAAUGCUAAUACCGCAUAAAAACUUUAAACACAAGUUUUAAGUUUGAAAGAUGCAAUUGCAUCACUCAAAGAUGAUCCCGCGUUGUAUUAGCUAGUUGGUGAGGUAAAGGCUCACCAAGGCGAUGAUACAUAGCCGACCUGAGAGGGUGAUCGGCCACAUUGGGACUGAGACACGGCCCAAACUCCUACGGGAGGCAGCAGUAGGGAAUCUUCGGCAAUGGACGAAAGUCUGACCGAGCAACGCCGCGUGAGUGAAGAAGGUUUUCGGAUCGUAAAACUCUGUUGGUAGAGAAGAACGUUGGUGAGAGUGGAAAGCUCAUCAAGUGACGGUAACUACCCAGAAAGGGACGGCCAACUACGUG